Transfer RNA from Ipomoea nil (Japanese morning glory), 73 nucleotides. It matches the Rfam family "tRNA". Rfam says of the family: Transfer RNA (tRNA) molecules are approximately 80 nucleotides in length. The record is from Rfam. NCBI's taxonomy places the organism in Eukaryota, Viridiplantae, Streptophyta, Magnoliopsida, Solanales, Convolvulaceae.
GCCUGUUUUGCUCAGUCGGUACAGCGCAAGGCUCUAAACCUUGUGGUCCUGGGUUCAAGUCCCAGGGUGGGCG